UCCAGAAUUACAUAGAAGUGUAGUGGUAAAUUUUUNAAUUAAGAGGAUUAAAAUCUNUGAUCAAAUUUUAACUUAAAGAUUUUUAAGGAUAAGCUUAAAAAUUAAAAAAUAAAUGGUAAUAUCUAAAAAUGANNGUAACAUGAGCUUGGAAUUGGCUACUGUUAUGAGUUUGUUAUAAAAUAGCUCAUUUAAUUUUUAGAAAAUUCUUGUACUUANNCAUUUUUAAGUUUAUGGAGAUAUAAAGGUUAAUUAAAUUUCCUUUAAAGUUUAUGCUAAGAUGAGUAUUAUUAGAGCAAAAUUAGUGAAAAGAAAUAAUAUCAACNUUUUCUUAUAUUGAAAUUNUUACAAAUUAAAUAAGAAAAAGGAAUUCAGCAAAAUUGAUCGCUUCGCCUGUUUAUCAAAAACAUCGCUCCUUGUUAUAUCAAAUAUAAGGAGUCGAACCUGCCCAGUGAGAUUUUUAACGGCCGCGGUACUCUGACCGUGCAAAGGUAGCAUAAUCAUUUGCCUUAUAAUUGAAGGCUUGUAUGAAUGGUUUGACGAAAUCGAUACUGUCUCUUUUUUAUUUUAUAGAAUUUGACUUAAGGGUGAAGAGGCUCUUAUUUUACUGAAGGACAAGAAGACCCUGUCGAGCUUAAAAAAUAAAUGGAGAAUUAAUAUAAAAUUAAAUAAAUAAAAUACCAAAUAAUUUUUUUGGUUGGGGCGACUGAGGAACAAAAAAAGCUUCCUCUAAUUUUUUAUGUCUUACGAGCUAGAGAUCCAGUUAUACUGAUUACAGGAAUUAGUUACCGCAGGGAUAACAGCAUAAUCUCUCUUAAGAGACCAUAUCGAAAGGGGGGGUUGUGACCUCGAUGUUGGACUAGGGUAUCCUAAAGAUGUAGAAGUCUUUAAAGGUUGGUCUGUUCGACCAUUAAAAUC
RNAcentral lists this ribosomal RNA (915 nucleotides) under Supplanaxis nucleus. RNAcentral's name for it is "partial large subunit ribosomal RNA". It matches the Rfam family "Bacterial large subunit ribosomal RNA", at positions 1452 to 2595 of the family's 2925-position model. Lineage: Eukaryota; Metazoa; Mollusca; Gastropoda; Planaxidae. The record is from RNAcentral.